RNAcentral lists this long non-coding RNA (1006 nucleotides) under Centruroides sculpturatus (bark scorpion). RNAcentral describes it as "uncharacterized LOC111630792, transcript variant X1". The record is from RNAcentral. Lineage: Eukaryota; Metazoa; Arthropoda; Arachnida; Scorpiones; Buthidae.
GAACUUUGCUCGCCAGAUGGCGACAGCGCGGAACCCGGAAAGGCCGCCACCGGCGUCGGGCGACGGAAGACCCGCCCGUGCCGGACGAACUUGCAGCGGGAAAGGAAAGGGACAGAGAGACUUCCUCGAGGUUUAUUUAUCUCGAAAUACUGACUGGUGAAUGAAGAUAAGGUGGAGUUAAUCGGUGCCAUCCUGCUGAAGUUUCUGUCCAAACGUUUUGUGAUCACGCGACUUAAAGCCGCCAUUAUUCUUCCAAACAACGUGCUAGAGAGAUUGGAACGAAUGUGGUGGAUAAAUUUUAUCGUCUACGCGUUGAUUGUCGGCAAACGAAUUAAAAUUAAUAAAGUUUUUAGAGUGUGACUACGUGUGCCGCUUUCGGCUGCACAAAUCUCAGCUAGAAAAGAGUUUUGAUAAAACUUUUUCCGAAAGAUCCCGCACGUCGUAAACGUUGGCAAACAAAAGCAAACGAGAAGGCUGGAAAGCAACCGACAGCAACUAUUUAUGCGAAAUAAGUUCAAUUUCCCGAUGAUCAACGAGAAAAAACUAAAGUCGAUCGAACUAGAAAAUUGAAGCACGAUGAUCUCCUUUUCAUAUAUCCUUAAGCGUUACCUAAAAAAAUCUACAAGGGCUCUCCACCGAUUUAAAAAAAAAAAAAACUUCCUUCAAAAACCUGUAAAAUUUCGAAUGACGCAAAUUCCGUCGAACAGGCAUUAAGUUUCGAACGAGUAACAGAACUCUGGAGAAUGUUCAUUCGAAGAAUAAACAAAACUGUAAGCGUAUCUUCAUUGAAAUUAUAAAUUGUGAUUUUGAAAUUCAGAAAAUUCAUUUUAAAGAAUGUCACAACAUUAAAAGAAACAUUAGAUAUUGUUUUAUAACAUUUCGACUUAACCUUUUUGAUUUAAAAAAAUAAGAAAACAAAUGUAAAGUUCAGUUUUAAAAUGCUCUUUCGAGUAAAGGGCAAACAAUGCUCAUAUUAUAUAAAAGUGUUAAUUACUAUUUUUUCAAA